This is a small nuclear RNA of Lepus europaeus (European hare), 108 nucleotides long. The record is from RefSeq and is a predicted model, not a curated record. NCBI's taxonomy places the organism in Eukaryota, Metazoa, Chordata, Mammalia, Lagomorpha, Leporidae.
GUGCUCGAUUUGGCAGCACAUAUUACUGAAAUUGAAACGACACAGAGAUGAUUAGCAUGGCCCCUGUGCAAGGAUGACACGCAAAUUCAUGAAGCUUUCCAUAUUUUU